GUGGUAGUUUACUUCAGGCUUUGUCAUUCUAUAAUGAGUGAGGAAUGGGAGAUAAGACUUGGACAGUGAGUUCAGUAUUGCAUCUUUCCCAAGCUGCUCAUGCAGGAGAAAGUUGAGCUUGCUCAAAUGCUCCAUCAGCUCGAUCAUGUACAAUACAUGAUCAGUGACAGAGGCACCAUCCUGUAUUUUGGCAUUGAAGAUGGCACAACUAGUCUUGUGCCUCUCCACAUCAUC
RNAcentral lists this long non-coding RNA (234 nucleotides) under Elaeis guineensis (African oil palm). Its description in RNAcentral is "long non-coding RNA (EGUI_LNC063976)". Lineage: Eukaryota; Viridiplantae; Streptophyta; Magnoliopsida; Arecales; Arecaceae. The record is from RNAcentral.